AUCAAAGUCAAAAUAUAGACAUUUGUCAUAUCUUGAGAUUGUAAAAGAUAUUGCCAUAAAUGACAGUUCUCAAAAAAUUUUGAGAAGUCUGUUUUUUUUUUUUUUAUUCAUACGGUGCCGUUUCUCACACGCACAAUCCUAGCAGUAUCUCUCUCCCUUUCGUUGCCAUGUCUACUGUUUUGCAACCAGGGAUCGACAAAGUCGCUCUGCGAUUCAUGGGAAGAUCAGGCUAGGAUUAUCCGUGCUCGACGAAAUUGCUGGCUUUUAAAGAAAAAAGUAUGUAUUAUGAAAAUGAGAAGAAACAUUUUUCUUUGGAUCACUGUUGGGCGAUCUUGGAACAUUGCAUUAAGUGGGAAGAUUGGGCAUCCUCCAAAAAGCCAAAGUCUCCUGCAAUGACCCCAUAUUCCUCUUUCUCAUCCUAAAUUCAAGAAACACCCAUUUCUCUCGAUUUCGAUCAAGAUCUAACCGGAAUUGCUGUUGACUCCCCAAGAACCAAAAGGCCUAGUGAAAGGAAAGCUACAAAAAAAGUACAUAGGAAAAACAAGAUAGCAGAUACUUCAGACACUCAUUUUUGUGAUUUGAUGGAAAAUUUUAACAAAAAUGCAUCUGAUGCAAGUGAGAGUAGACUGAAGAAGUUCGAAAUAGAAGAAAGAAAAGUUAGAGUAAUGGAGCAAAUGAAUCAAAAGGAGUAAGAAGCCAAGGAAAAAGAGAGAGAUGAUAAGAUUAUGAUGAUGGACGUUUCCAACAAGGACCCUCAGGCGAAAGUUUAUUACCAGCUGCGUAAGGAUGAGAUUCUUGUCAAACUACAAGCACGCUCAACAAACCUUGAUUAUUAUGUUCCUCUUCCCCAUCUCCAUGAUUAUCUACUUUUUUUUGUUAUGCUUAUGUAUUUAUUUUGGAUCAUUGUUAUGGAUUUUAUUGAAUUGUAGUAUUGAAA
This is a long non-coding RNA of Cornus florida, 937 nucleotides long. RefSeq lists it as uncharacterized. The transcript is spliced from 2 exons. NCBI's taxonomy places the organism in Eukaryota, Viridiplantae, Streptophyta, Magnoliopsida, Cornales, Cornaceae. The record is from RefSeq and is a predicted model, not a curated record.